UGUUUCAACCUAUAAAGAGCUCCUACAUUUAAAAAAAAAACACUUGGUGGAUUAAACUAUAAAGUAAAAAGAAAUCCUCAACACUAAGGGUGGCAAACAGGCGGGUCGAGUCGGACAUGGAUUGAUCAAAAAUGAGUCAAGUGAAAAUAAAUAAAAUAUUUGACCCGACCCAUAUUUGAUAUGGAUAAAAUUAGGCAACCCCAAUGGAUCAUGAGUACUUCCAAAUUACAAGUUUUUUUCUUUCUCUUUUUCUCCUUUUAGGGUGUGUUUGGUUGUGAAGGAAAUAUUUCCAUGUUUCCCUGGAAAAUA
This 309-nucleotide unclassified non-coding RNA is filed under the name Hevea brasiliensis (rubber tree). Lineage: Eukaryota; Viridiplantae; Streptophyta; Magnoliopsida; Malpighiales; Euphorbiaceae. The record is from RNAcentral.